UGAGGAGGAAAGGGAG
RNAcentral lists this small RNA (16 nucleotides) under Arabidopsis thaliana (thale cress). RNAcentral's name for it is "ATSL128150". Lineage: Eukaryota; Viridiplantae; Streptophyta; Magnoliopsida; Brassicales; Brassicaceae. The record is from RNAcentral.